GCCGGGGUGGCGGAACUGGUAGACGCGACGGACUCAAAAUCCGUUUGCCGAAAGGCAGUGCGGGUUCGAUUCCCGCCCUCGGCACCA
Molecule: transfer RNA, 87 nt
Filed under: Wenzhouxiangella sp. 15181
Lineage: Bacteria; Pseudomonadati; Pseudomonadota; Gammaproteobacteria; Chromatiales; Wenzhouxiangellaceae
Also listed under: 1 other name
Description: tRNA-Leu
Rfam family: tRNA
About the family: Transfer RNA (tRNA) molecules are approximately 80 nucleotides in length. Their secondary structure includes four short double-helical elements and three loops (D, anti-codon, and T loops).
Source: RNAcentral